GCUUAGAAGCAGCCAUCAUUUAAAGAAAGCGUAAUAGCUCACUGGUCGAGUCGGCCUGCGCGGAAGAUGUAACGGGGCUAAACCAUGCACCGAAGCUGCGGCAGCGACGCUUAUGCGUUGUUGGGUAGGGGAGCGUUCUGUAAGCCUGUGAAGGUGUGCUGUGAGGCAUGCUGGAGGUAUCAGAAGUGCGAAUGCUGACAUAAGUAACGAUAAAGCGGGUGAAAAGCCCGCUCGCCGGAAGACCAAGGGUUCCUGUCCAA
RNAcentral lists this ribosomal RNA (260 nucleotides) under Escherichia coli. RNAcentral's name for it is "partial 23S ribosomal RNA". It matches the Rfam family "Bacterial large subunit ribosomal RNA", at positions 1104 to 1362 of the family's 2925-position model. The record is from RNAcentral. Lineage: Bacteria; Pseudomonadati; Pseudomonadota; Gammaproteobacteria; Enterobacterales; Enterobacteriaceae.